CAGCACACUAGCUGAGCAACAAAUGCAGAAGUCUUGAAUGAAGUUAGACAAGAAGAUAAAUUGGACGUGAUUUUUCCAAUGCAUAAAGGCCUGCCAGGCUCCCCUUCCGAACCCAGGAACUGAACCCUGAGCACUGCAAUCAGACUCUUUAUCAUCUGAACCAACAGGGAAGACCCAAGAAUGAUGGCAAGUGGUGAAGACAGGCAGAACCACCAGAUUAGAAAGAACAUAAAUCACUGAAACCUUGAGGAGGAAAAUUGCCUGCAGGACUUCACAUGAGUGUGACUAAGCACUAAACUUCCACUAUGGCUUCAGAAGAACUAAAAAUAACUGGGUGAAAAAUCUGAAAGGCAAAGCUGCUCUAUCUGCCAGCAUUCUAAGGAGACAGGAUCCAGCUCAAUCAGAAGAGAGUGUAUCUCUGCCCUUCUGGAUGAUUAAAGCAAACUGGCAUCUUGUAUCAGUUUGGGAGCUAGAGCCCCUGGAUUGUCGGAUGCUCAUAGUUAAUAGACUUACAUUUUUCUUCUUCAUCCAUUAACAUUAUUCCUGUGAACACCUAUGCUUCUGUGUAAAAAUGAAACUGCCCUUAAAUUAUGCUUGGUCUUCACUUUCUGUAUCUAAAGUAAAUAAUAAUAAUAAACUAGUAAAUUU
This is a long non-coding RNA of Bos taurus (domestic cattle), 648 nucleotides long. The record is from Ensembl. NCBI's taxonomy places the organism in Eukaryota, Metazoa, Chordata, Mammalia, Artiodactyla, Bovidae.